This 240-nucleotide long non-coding RNA is filed under the name Mytilus galloprovincialis (Mediterranean mussel). The record is from RNAcentral. Lineage: Eukaryota; Metazoa; Mollusca; Bivalvia; Mytilida; Mytilidae.
UGAAUGUUCCUUAUGAGGUGCUGACCAAGUGUUGUUACUUUGUAGCCGAUCCGCCAUCCAAGAUGGCCGCCAGUGGGGGACUUUUGAAUGAAAUUAAACAUGUUCCUUUCCUUAUCAAUGAGGUUGUGUUGUCACUUUUAGCCAAAUUUUAUAUUUUUUCAUAUGAUUUCAAAAACCCAAGUAGAAUCAGGUGAGCGAUACAGGCUCUUGAGAGCCUCUAGUUGUAAUCUUUUACAAAAA